ACGCUGGCGGCACGCCUAAUACAUGCAAGUCGAACGCAGUAGCAAUACUGAGUGGCAGACGGGUGAGUAUAAUGUGGGAAUAUGCCUUUUGGUUUGGAAUAACUCGGGGAAACUUGAGCUAAUACUGAAUAAGCCCUUACGGGGAAAGAUUUAUCGCCGAAAGAUUAGCCCGCACUUGAUUAGCUUGUUGGUGAGGUAAAAGCUCACCAAGGCAACGAUCAAUAGCUGUUCUUAGAGGAAGACCAGCCACAUUGGGACUGAGACACGGCCCAGACUCCUACGGGAGGCAGCAGUAGGGAAUCUUGCACAAUGGGGGAAACCCUGAUGCAGCGAUGCCGCGUGAGUGAAGAAGGCCUUUGGGUUGUAAAACUCUUUCGUCGGGGAAGAAAAUGACUGUACCCGAAUAAGAAGGUCCGGCUAACUUCGUGCCAGCAGCCGCGGUAAUACGAAGGGAUCUAGCGUAGUUCGGAAUUACUGGGCUUAAAGAGCUCGUAGGUGGUUAAAAAAGUUGGUGGUGAAAUCCCAAGGCUCAACCUUGGAACUGCCAUCAAAACUUUUUAGCUAGAGUGUGAUAGAGGAAAGUGGAAUUUCUAGUGUAGAGGUGAAAUUCGUAGAUAUUAGAAAGAACACCAAAAGCGAAGGCAACUUUCUGGAUCACUACUGACACUGAGGAGCGAAAGCAUGGGUAGCGAAGAGGAUUAGAUACCCUCGUAGUCCAUGCUGUAAACGAUGUGUGCUAGACGUUGGAAAUUUAUUUUCAGUGUCGCAGCAAAAGCAUUAAGCACACCGCCUGGGGAGUACGACC
This 805-nucleotide ribosomal RNA is filed under the name uncultured Pelagibacteraceae bacterium. RNAcentral describes it as "bacterial SSU rRNA". It matches the Rfam family "Bacterial small subunit ribosomal RNA", at positions 33 to 887 of the family's 1533-position model. The record is from RNAcentral. Lineage: Bacteria; Pseudomonadati; Pseudomonadota; Alphaproteobacteria; Candidatus Pelagibacterales; Candidatus Pelagibacteraceae.